Molecule: ribosomal RNA, 254 nt
Filed under: uncultured bacterium
Lineage: Bacteria
Description: partial 16S ribosomal RNA
Rfam family: Bacterial small subunit ribosomal RNA
Source: RNAcentral
GACGAGCCGUGCGAACGUUAUUCGGAUUCACUGGGCUUAAAGCGCGUGUAGGCGGAUGACCACGUCGGUCGCUGAAAGCCCCCGGCUCAACCGGGGAACGGGCGACGAUACGGGUCCUCUGGAGGGAGGUAGGGGGAGCCGGAACUUCCGGUGGAGCGGUGAAAUGCGGUGAGAUCGGAAGGAACGCCCGUGGCGAAAGCGGGCUCCUAGACCUCUCCUGACGCUGAGACGCGAAAGCUAGGGGAGCAAACGGG